This 837-nucleotide long non-coding RNA is filed under the name Piliocolobus tephrosceles (Ugandan red Colobus). RNAcentral describes it as "lncRNA (ENSPTEG00000022021.1)". Lineage: Eukaryota; Metazoa; Chordata; Mammalia; Primates; Cercopithecidae. The record is from RNAcentral.
UCCUUCAUCUAUGGUUAUGCUCUUGGUGUGUUGUCAUCUUGGAAUACCCUUCUUCCCACAACAGAAUACUCACUUCCUUUCUCUCCUUUCUUAUCUCCCCUAGUUGCACAGAAUCACCCUUGGGUCCUAGUCUUCUGCCCAGUAAUUGGACCCUAUUUUCCAGAAUACCUGAUAAAUUGCAAGUUUGUGCCCCACAGCUGCACAGACUGCCUGAAGUUACAUUUAGAGACUGAAAUCACUGCACCUUAAAAACAAAAGAUUGGGCUGCACUGUAUUCCUAAUGUUUCAUCAUUACUAACAGGAUACUCCUCAUGCUAUUGCUGUCUGGUAAGUAACUCUCGUUAUCUGUAAAUGGCAGUCCAAAAUACUGAGGUGCAAAGAAGUCAAAUAUAUUUCCAUGAACCUCAGAAAAUAGGAGAUCCAAAGGCUGUGGUGAGUCUUCGGGUCUAAACUUUAGCAAUACUAAAUUUUGACAGAACAUAUUUUGACAUUAGUAAAGGAUAGAUCUUUAAUAUCCUAUUUGUUUAUUUGUUCAUUUGAAAUACCAGCAUUUAGAAGAAUAAGAAACAUGACCUCCCGAACCUAUUAUCACAGAUUUUGGCAAAUAUUUUAGAAUGACUCUGCUAAACAAGAUGGAAGUACUCAAAGGACUUGUUUGGAAGACCCUCCAGAGAGAUACAUUUCCAAAGGAGACUCCUGAGUGGACAGAAGGGGUGAUAGGGUGAAGUUGAGCACUGAUGUUUCCUGUGUGGAACACUGUAUGUGUUGGUGAUUCUUUGAACUACCCAUUAGUAUUCUGUGGUAUUCUGUACAUUUGAAAUGCAUUGGCUUCAUUUG